GACGGGUCCCCGCACAAGCGGCGGAGGCAGUGCGGCGUUAAAUUCGAUCGCAACCCGAAGAACCUUACCUGGGCUUGACAUCAAUGGGAAAAGCCGUAGAGAUACGGUGUGCAUUAGCGUCCGUGACAGGUGGUGCAUGGCUGUCGUCAGCUCGUGUCGUGAGAUGUUGGGUUAAGUCCCGCAACGAGCGCAACCCUUGUCCUAUGUUGCCAGCGGUUCGGCCGGGGACUCAUAGGAGACUGCCGGGGACAACUCGGAGGAAGGUGAGGACGACGUCAAGUCAUCAUGCCCCUUAUGUCCAGGGCUGCACGCAUGCUACAAUGGCCGGUACAACGGGCUGCGAUCCCGCGAGGGUGAGCGAAUCCCUUAAAGCCGGCCUCAGUUCGGAUUGGAGUCUGCAACUCGACUCCAUGAAGUCGGAGUCGCUAGUAAUCGCGGAUCAGCAAAGCCGCGGUGAAUGCGUUCUCGGGGAUU
RNAcentral lists this ribosomal RNA (474 nucleotides) under uncultured Acidimicrobiales bacterium. Its description in RNAcentral is "bacterial SSU rRNA". It matches the Rfam family "Bacterial small subunit ribosomal RNA", at positions 912 to 1382 of the family's 1533-position model. Lineage: Bacteria; Bacillati; Actinomycetota; Acidimicrobiia; Acidimicrobiales. The record is from RNAcentral.